RNAcentral lists this ribosomal RNA (421 nucleotides) under uncultured bacterium. Its description in RNAcentral is "bacterial SSU rRNA". It matches the Rfam family "Bacterial small subunit ribosomal RNA", at positions 9 to 423 of the family's 1533-position model. The record is from RNAcentral.
GAGUUUGAUCGUGGCUCAGAGUGAACGCUGGCGGCAGGCCUAACACAUGCAAGUCGAGCGGCAGCGCAGCAGUAGCAAUACUGUGGGCGGCGAGCGGCGGACGGGUGAGGAACACAUCGGAAUCUACCCUGUCGUGGGGGACAACGUAGGGAAACUUACGCUAAUACCGCAUACGACCUUUGGGUGAAAGUGGGGGACUCGCAAGAGCCUCACGCGAUUGGAUGAGCCGAUGUCCGAUUAGCUAGUUGGCGGGGUAAUGGCCCACCAAGGCGACGAUCGGUAGCUGGUCUGAGAGGACGACCAGCCACACUGGAACUGAGACACGGUCCAGACUCCUACGGGAGGCAGCAGUGGGGGAAUAUUGGACAAUGGGGGCAACCCUGAUCCAGCCAUGCCGCGUGGGUGAAGAAGGCCUUCGGUU